Molecule: small nucleolar RNA, 79 nt
Organism: Zingiber officinale
Lineage: Eukaryota; Viridiplantae; Streptophyta; Magnoliopsida; Zingiberales; Zingiberaceae
Product: small nucleolar RNA Z105
Exons: 1
Source: RefSeq, a predicted model, not a curated record
UUGGCAUUAUGAUGAAUAUCUCAUAUCAAUUCUGAGAAUUUUUUUAUCUGACAGAAUUUAAACCUCCUACUCAUUCUGA